UUCCCACGGGAGGCCAGCACAGAAAAAAAUGUAUGAAAUUGUAUGAAAUGUAUGCAUUCACUACUGUAAGUCGCUCUGGAUAAGAGCGUCUGCUAAAAUGACUAAAAUGUAAGGUCAACAUGCAGGGAAACAUCUAUACAUUAGUGAAGGACUGGUCAACAUGCAGGGAAACAUCCAUAUAGUAGUGAAGGUCAACAUGCAGGGAAACAUCUAUACAGUAGUGAAGGUCAACAUGCAUGGAAACAUCUAUACAGUAGUGAAGAUCAACAUGCAGCGAAACAUCUAUACAUGAUUGAAGGUCAACAUGCAGGGAAACAUCUAUACCGUAGUGAAGGUCAACAUGCAGGGAAACAUCUAUACAGUAGUGAAGGUCAACAUGCAUGGAAACAUCUAUACAGUAGUGAAGGUCAACAUGCAGGGAAACAUCUAUACAGUAGUGAAGGUCAACAUGCAGGGAAACAUCCAUAUAGUAGUGAAGGUCAACAUGCAGGGAAACAGCUAUACAGUAGUGAAGAUCAACGUGCAGGGAAACAUCCAUAUAGUAGUGAAGGUCAGCAUGCAGGGAAACAUCUAUACAGUAGUGAAGGUCAACAUGCAGGGAAACAUCCAUAUAGUAGUGAAGGUCAACAUGCAGGGAAACAUCCAUAUAGUAGUGACAGG
This 660-nucleotide long non-coding RNA is filed under the name Salmo salar (Atlantic salmon). Its description in RNAcentral is "lncRNA (ENSSSAG00000107598.1)". The stretch from base 53 to 107 matches the Rfam family "UnaL2 LINE 3' element". The record is from RNAcentral. Lineage: Eukaryota; Metazoa; Chordata; Actinopteri; Salmoniformes; Salmonidae.